CCUGGUGGCUCAUCUGGUAGAGAAUCUGCCUGCAAUGCAGGAGACCCUGGUUUGAUUCCUGGGUCAGGA
This 69-nucleotide transfer RNA is filed under the name Bos taurus (domestic cattle). It matches the Rfam family "tRNA". From Rfam's summary of the family: Transfer RNA (tRNA) molecules are approximately 80 nucleotides in length. Their secondary structure includes four short double-helical elements and three loops (D, anti-codon, and T loops). The record is from Rfam by way of RNAcentral. Lineage: Eukaryota; Metazoa; Chordata; Mammalia; Artiodactyla; Bovidae. RNAcentral also lists the same sequence under 2 other names.